CACCCUUCCCAGCUCCCAGCUCCCAGCUCACCCUGGAAGUCGAAGUCAGUGAGAGAAGGGUUGAUAGCAUCCAGAACCCUGACCCAGCACCACAGAGCAGCUGGGAGGCCUUGGGGCUCAGCGCCAGGCGAGGCUGUCCAUUCCAGGCUGUGUCAGCAGAGCUCUCUGCACUUCCACAGCAGCAUCUGCAAACAAGAUGAGUGACAGAGCCUCGCACAGGGCGCUGAGAGUGAAAUGAAAUCAUGCAGAGAAAGCUCGGAGCACAGCACAAGCACACAGGGCUUGAUCCACACGCCAGGCUCACUCUCAGCAAUGCUAAAUGUGGCGUGACGGGGAAGCGUGGAGCUGGCUGUAACUGGACACUUCAAGGGAGCAGAAUCUCUGGGAGCCGGUUCAGAGCACAUAUGCCGCCACUCAGAACUGUCAUCUGCCCACCCUAUGUCUCCUUCCUGGACAGGAGACUAUGGAGGAAGAUGUGGGUCAAAUUCCCUUCUACCGCAAGACCAUAAUCAUCAUAGACCCGCAUCAUUGGAACACUCAGAAGUCCAAGUUGCAUGCUUUUUAUCUUUGCUAUCUCUUCUCGCCUCUGUCCCUGUGGACAGUGAACACAGCAUACUGGAGCCAGUGCUUUAGGGAGCAAACUGAAUCCAUCACUUCCAAUUCCACAUUCAGCAAAAUAAAGGCAAACUGGCCAUAGCUACAUAGCUGCCCAUGCAAAAAUCUCACACAUUAUCAACCAGAAUGCUGCCUAAUGUGUUGGCACACACCUUUAAUCCCAGCA
Long non-coding RNA from Mus musculus (house mouse), 781 nucleotides. RefSeq annotates it as predicted gene, 30367. The record is from RefSeq and is a predicted model, not a curated record. NCBI's taxonomy places the organism in Eukaryota, Metazoa, Chordata, Mammalia, Rodentia, Muridae. The transcript has 4 exons.